Molecule: ribosomal RNA, 480 nt
Filed under: uncultured bacterium
Lineage: Bacteria
Description: partial 16S ribosomal RNA
Rfam family: Bacterial small subunit ribosomal RNA
Source: RNAcentral
GACGAACGCUGGCGGCGUGCUUAACACAUGCAAGUCGAGCGGAAAGGCCACUUCGGUGGUACUCGAGCGGCGAACGGGUGAGUAACACGUGAGUAAUCUGCCCCUGGCUUUGGGAUAGCCACCGGAAACGGCGAUUAAUACCGGAGAUGACCACUUCACGCAUGUGAUGGUGGUGGAAAGUUUUUCGGCCAGGGAUGUGCUCGCGGCCUAUCAGCUUGAUGGGGAGGUAAUGGCUCACCAUGGCUUCGACGGGUAGCCGGCCUGAGAGGGUGACCGGUCACACUGGGACUGGGACACGGCCCAGACUCCUACGGGAGGCAGCAGUGGGGAAUAUUGGACAAUGGGCGGAAGCCUGAUCCAGCAACGCCGCGUGAGGGAUGACGGCCUUCGGGUUGUAAACCUCUUUCGCCUGUGACGAAGCGCAAGUGACGGUAACAGGUAAAGAAGCACCGGCCAACUACGUGCCAGCAGCCGCAGUAA